RNAcentral lists this unclassified non-coding RNA (175 nucleotides) under soil metagenome. RNAcentral's name for it is "partial internal transcribed spacer 1". The record is from RNAcentral.
CCUUUCAAUGCAGCAGAGUUGAGGAUGGUUGAGUAUCUCGCCCUCUCCAUUCUCGCCUGUAUUCUACCCUUGUUUUUCAUAUACUAUUAUUUCCUCGGCAGGCAUUGCCUGCCGGAGUGAAACCACUUUAUAACCUGUUUAAUUUUCAAUCAGCGUCUGAACAAAUUAAUAAUUA